Catharus ustulatus (Swainson's thrush) is the source of this 387-nucleotide non-coding RNA. The record is from the annotation of a RefSeq genome assembly. NCBI's taxonomy places the organism in Eukaryota, Metazoa, Chordata, Aves, Passeriformes, Turdidae.
CGGGCGGCCGUGACCCUGCUGGAGUGCGGGGGGGACCUCCAGCCCCCCGGGGGGUCCCUGACUCUGCUCUGCCGUGGAUCUGGAUUCGAUUUUGGGGGUUAUGGAAUGAUCUGGAUCCGCCAAAGACCCGGAAAGGGAUUGGAAUAUGUUGCAGAGAUUGACUAUGAUGACGACACUUACUACGCGCCGUCGGUGCAGGGUCGGUUCUCGAUCUCCAGGGACAACGGGCAGAGCUCGGUGACGCUGACCAUGAACAGCCUCAAGGACGAGGAUUCCGCCGUUUAUUUCUGUGCCAAAAGUGCUGUUGCUGGAACUGAGAGCAGUGGAAUUGGGAAAACCAAACAAGGAGGAGGUGGUGAAAGAGUGGGAGGAACGGCCAAGAGUUGA